UGGGGAAUAUUGGACAAUGGGCGCAAGCCUGAUCCAGCAAUGCCGCGUGUGUGAAGAAGGCCUUCGGGUUGUAAAGCACUUUUAUCAGGAGCGAAACUACUGUCGGCUAAUACCCGGCGGAACUGACGGUACCUGAGGAAUAAGCACCGGCUAACUUCGUGCCAGCAGCCGCGGUAAUACGAAGGGUGCAAGCGUUAAUCGGAAUUACUGGGCGUAAAGCGUGCGUAGGCGGUUUGUUAAGUCUGUUGUGAAAUCCCCGGGCUCAACCUGGGAAUGGCAAUGGAUACUGGCAGGCUAGAGUGUGUCAGAGGAUGGUGGAAUUCCCGGUGUAGCGGUGAAAUGCGUAGAGAUCGGGAGGAACAUCAGUGGCGAAGGCGGCCAUCUGGGACAACACUGACGCUGAGGCACGAAAGCGUGGGGAGCAAAC
Molecule: ribosomal RNA, 427 nt
Filed under: uncultured bacterium
Lineage: Bacteria
Description: bacterial SSU rRNA
Rfam family: Bacterial small subunit ribosomal RNA
Source: RNAcentral